GCACACCCACACACAGUAAAGCCUAAAACACACACACUAUACACAUCAUCAUCAUCAUCAUCAUCAUCAGCAGCAGCAGCAGCAACAGCAGCAGCAGGAAGAGCAGUGUUCUUCAGGAUGUGUUGAGCUGAACACUGACUCUCAUUUCAUUUGGAGAGACGAUGAUGAUGUGGAUUUUGAACCUGCUAUGUAGCUUAUAUAAGAAGAGAAAUGAAGAAUAGUUACUGGGAAGGCACAGCAGCAGGACUUCUUUUAACCUUUGCACUGGAUCACGUUAUAUUGGCGCUGCAAACAAAGUCUGGACUCGUGCGCUCAGCUGAAGUUCAUUCAGCGUCACAACAUGUGUGAGAAAAGCGAUAAUCCCGCUGGAAUAAACGAAGUUUGUCCAACAGCACAAACGAACAGCUCCGAUCUGAACUCUGUUUCCACUCGCGUGUACAAGAGGAGAUGGAUCAUCGUGUUUCUCUUCAGCUCAUAUUCACUCUGCAACGCGUUCCAGUGGAUCCAGUAUGGAAGCAUCAACAACAUCUUCAUGAAGUUUUACGACGUCACUUCAUUCACCAUCGACUGGCUCUCCAUGAUCUUCAUGUUAACUUACAUUCCCUUCAUCUUUCCAGUGACAUGGCUGUUGGAGAGGAAAGGCUUGCGCGUGGUCGCGCUGCUGGCCGCCUCAAUCAAUUGCGCGGGCACGUGGAUCAAAGUGACCAGCGUUCAGCCCGGUCUCUUCUGGGUCACAAUGCUUGGACAGUUCGCCUCGGCGUUCGCGCAGGUGUUCAUCCUGGGAAUGCCGUCUCACAUCGCGUCUGUGUGGUUCGGCUCGGACGAGGUAUCCACCGCCUGCGCCAUUGGUGUUUUUGGAAACCAGCUCGGCAUUGCCAUUGGCUUUCUGUUGCCGCCGGUUCUGGUGCCGAAUGUAGAUGACAUGAAUGAGCUGUCACAUCACAUCAGAAUCAUGUUUUACAUCACUGCUACUGUGGCCACCGUCAUCUUUCUGCUGGUCGUGUUUGUGUUUCAGGAUAAACCUGAAGUUCCUCCAUCACAGUCUCAGGCAUCGCUCAGACUCACACCCGCAGGUCAGACCUCAUAUCUGGAGUCGAUCAAGAGACUGAUGUCUAACAGAGCCUUCAUCAUUCUCCUCAUCAGCUAUGGACUGAAUGUUGGCUGUUUUUACUCAGUUUCCACCCUGUUGAAUCGGAUGAUAAUGGAGCAUUACCCUGGUGAAGAGGUGAAUGCUGGGAGAAUUGGAUUGACUCUUGUCAUCGCUGGUAUGGUCGGAUCUCUCAUCUCUGGAAUCUGGUUAGACAAGACCAAGACUUACAAACAGACGACGCUUGCGGUUUAUAUCCUCUCUUUUGUGGGGAUGGUCGUCUACUCUUUCACCCUGAACUUAGGUUUUCUGUGGAUUGUGUUCCUCACAUCAGGAGCUCUGGGGUUCUUCAUGACGGGUUAUCUGCCAUUAGGAUUUGAGUUUGCCGUUGAGCUGACGUAUCCAGAAUCUGAGGGAACAUCAUCAGGAUUACUCAACUGUUCAGCACAGAUAUUUGGAAUCAUGUUUACCAUCAUUCAAGGCAAAAUCAUUGAUAACUUAGGCACAUUAGCCGGAAACAUCUUCCUCUGUGUCUUCCUCUUCAUCGGCUCAAUCCUGACAGCGUUUAUAAAAUCUGACCUGCGGAGACAGAAGGCCAACCAUCAAUCUCAGACUGAGACAAACCCUUUUUAUGGGUCUACAGUACCUUACAGCCUCUUCCAGGAGGAGUCAUCAGAUUAAACAUUACAGCGUCAGUGCUACAGAACAAAGAAAUGAAUAUAGGUUUAUAACAACAUGAGGGAAUCAAAUGCACAUGUUGAAGAUGGAGGAGGAUCAGUCGUGAAGGAGGUGAAGAUGUGAAGUGUGACACAGGCUUCACAGAUAAAGACGUUCAGUUCAGAGACUUUGUGUUCCUGUAGUUUAAAAGGUCAUGGGUUCGAUCCCAGGGAACACACAUACUGAUAAUGUAUUUCUAGUCAUGCACUGUAAGUCGCUUUGGAUAAAAGCGUUUGCCAAAACGCACAAUUGUGAUUGAAACGCUUGUGGUGUGAAGUUGUCCACCAGAACCCACAGCAUGUAAUUCAGAAAACCUUUACACCAGUGGUUCUCAAACGUUUUGUGCUGCUCCCCUCGUGUACGGUGCAUCAGAAUUCAUGAUAAAUUAAUGUAUUUGAUCAAACAUCUCAGUUUGAGAACCACUGCUUUACACAACCAGAUCACUGACUGAAAAUAUAUGUGAGAGGUCAAUGUGUGUAUUAAGGUCUUGUGCUUUUAUUUAUUUACAUUAGAUAUUUUAUCCAGAAAGGUAUAAAGCCAUACCGAAGACUGAAGUAAAUAUUUUAUUCAGUGAUAUUUCUAGCUAAACUAGAUUAUUAUUUUUUUAAUUAUACUUAUCUGUUAACCAGACAGUAAAUGAUUUGCAAAAAAACAUUUUCCCAGUCUUUCAGAGUUAUUUUUUCUUCAGUAUGUAUGUAAAUUGUUUGAAUGAUAGUUUCUUUCCCAAACUAAAUGAAUCAAACCUAUUUAUUAAUCUAUCGGAAUUCAUUAUUUUUUCUCAUGUAAGAAAGCCAGUGUCAUCCAGUAGCAGACAGAGAUCUGAUCAGUCUGUGAGGAUUAUAAAGUGAUGCUGGCCAUUACAGUUUUGUUAUGGAAGGUCAAUAUCCUCUAAAACAGACAUCAAAACCUAACAUUUUGAAAAUAUUUAUUUAUUUGUUAGUUUCUUUCAUGCAAUUAUAUUGCAUUAUACACUUUAAAAGUACUUUUGAUUUAUUUAUUGCAUGGGUGUCCCAGAAUGAUCAGGUCCACUCGGUUAAAAGAGUUUCCCUUAGUUAGAACCCAAAGUGAUUCUAUUGGACUUUGUAAGAGUAGCUGAUUAUUUUGUCUUAUUACACGGCUCUCUGGAAUGCUUGAUUCUGAUUGGUCAGUUGAGACAUUUGCAGGUUCGUUCUUUUCGAAUAAUAACCGCUCCAAAAUAAUAACGCAUAGCCGGUACUACUUUUACGAGAAAGAUCGCUCCGCGCCAAUAAAGAUUACUGUUUGUUUGGCGCCAUCUUGUGACAAACACUGGACAACCACGACAAGACACAGAGAGCUUACUGAGACUGAACUUGACAAAAUAGAGCAUGACAGCUACGAAGCCAACACACAAAAAAAUACAGAAUGGGCAUUAAAACUUCUCAAAGACUGGCUAAAAGAGAAAAAAAUGGAGACAGACAAGUAUGAAGCAGAGGAUCUUAAUAAGGUAUUACGAUCAUUUUAUGCAUCUGUGCAAAGUUUCGCGGAAGGAUAAAUAAUGUUAAUUUAAAACAAAUAUGCCAAUAAAAUGUUUCAAAUUCAUAUUCAUGUCCAGUUUUUUUUCUUAUGUGACAAGUAGCCGUGUAAUAAGCGGGAUAAUGUAGAGUCAGCCGGUAGUUAUCGGGAAAUAAGCCCCU
Paramisgurnus dabryanus is the source of this 3459-nucleotide non-coding RNA. The record is from RefSeq and is a predicted model, not a curated record. NCBI's taxonomy places the organism in Eukaryota, Metazoa, Chordata, Actinopteri, Cypriniformes, Cobitidae.